Molecule: transfer RNA, 73 nt
Filed under: Bos taurus (domestic cattle)
Lineage: Eukaryota; Metazoa; Chordata; Mammalia; Artiodactyla; Bovidae
Also listed under: 1 other name
Rfam family: tRNA
About the family: Transfer RNA (tRNA) molecules are approximately 80 nucleotides in length.
Source: Rfam by way of RNAcentral
UCCCUGAUGGGUCAGUGGCUAAGACUCCAUGCUCCCAAUGCAGGAGACCCAGGAUCGAUCCCUGGUCAGGGAA